This 519-nucleotide long non-coding RNA is filed under the name Physcomitrium patens. Its description in RNAcentral is "long non-coding RNA (PPAT_LNC014747)". The record is from RNAcentral. Lineage: Eukaryota; Viridiplantae; Streptophyta; Bryopsida; Funariales; Funariaceae.
CAACCAAAACCCAAUACCUUCUACCUCAAGCUUUCACGUGGGGUUCAUCACUUAUGUCGUAUUACGUGCUUUCCUGCUCGAGAACGCGUCGGGCGUCUGGCUGUAGAAGGUAGUAUGGAGAUUCGUCGACAGUCAAGCAGUCUAUCAGUUUUUGACUGCUGGAAUAUAAACGACUGCAAUAAUGUACCGUAAAUCUAUACAGGUGCUCUUUGACUGCUUGUCGAAGUCCUUUUUUGCCCCAGCCAGUAGGUCUCUAGACGUUACAAAGAACCCCAAACAACCCAAACUGUUAAUCUUCAAUACCGCUUUGUACUUACGAUCUUGUAUCCACUAACUGUCUUGUUAGAUUAGCCCAAUAAAUUUCAUUCACUCUGCAUACUCAAUCCUAUAGACACCCUUUUAAUCCUUCAAUCACAGACGUAACUCGAUUUCACAAAACAGUCAAGAGUAUUCAAACCCACUUCAUUAAAAAUUCCGAUUCACCAUUACAAUACUGACUUCAGCAGCGAUUGCCUCAGU